UACGUAGGGGGCAAGCGUUGUCCGGAUUUAUUGGGCGUAAAGAGCGUGUAGGCGGCCUGAAAGGUCAGCUGUGAAAACUCGAGGCUCAACCUCGAGACGUCGGUUGAAACCAUCUGGCUAGAGUCCGGAAGAGGAGUGUGGAAUUCCCGGUGUAGCGGUGAAAUGCGCAGAUAUCGGGAGGAACACCGGUGGCGAAGGCGGGUCUCUGGGCCGAUAUUGACGCUGAGGAGCGAAAGCUAGGGGAGCAAACGGG
This 253-nucleotide ribosomal RNA is filed under the name uncultured bacterium. RNAcentral's name for it is "partial 16S ribosomal RNA". It matches the Rfam family "Bacterial small subunit ribosomal RNA", at positions 524 to 776 of the family's 1533-position model. The record is from RNAcentral.